This 1089-nucleotide ribosomal RNA is filed under the name Alteromonas sp. R83. Its description in RNAcentral is "bacterial SSU rRNA". It matches the Rfam family "Bacterial small subunit ribosomal RNA", at positions 55 to 1178 of the family's 1533-position model. Lineage: Bacteria; Pseudomonadati; Pseudomonadota; Gammaproteobacteria; Alteromonadales; Alteromonadaceae. The record is from RNAcentral.
AUGCAAGUCGAACGGUAGCAGGAUGUGCUUGCACAUCGCUGACGAGUGGCGGACGGGUGAGUAAUGCUUGGGAACUUGCCUUUGCGAGGGGGAUAACAGUUGGAAACGACUGCUAAUACCGCAUAAUGUCUUCGGACCAAACGGGGCUUAGGCUCCGGCGCAAAGAGAGGCCCAAGUGAGAUUAGCUAGUUGGUGGGGUAAAGGCUCACCAAGGCAACGAUCUCUAGCUGUUCUGAGAGGAAGAUCAGCCACACUGGGACUGAGACACGGCCCAGACUCCUACGGGAGGCAGCAGUGGGGAAUAUUGCACAAUGGGGGAAACCCUGAUGCAGCCAUGCCGCGUGUGUGAAGAAGGCCUUCGGGUUGUAAAGCACUUUCAGUUGUGAGGAAAGGUUGGUAGUUAAUACCUGCCAGCUGUGACGUUAACAACAGAAGAAGCACCGGCUAACUCCGUGCCAGCAGCCGCGGUAAUACGGAGGGUGCGAGCGUUAAUCGGAAUUACUGGGCGUAAAGCGCACGCAGGCGGUUUGUUAAGCUAGAUGUGAAAGCCCCGGGCUCAACCUGGGAUGGUCAUUUAGAACUGGCAGACUAGAGUCUUGGAGAGGGGAGUGGAAUUCCAGGUGUAGCGGUGAAAUGCGUAGAUAUCUGGAGGAACAUCAGUGGCGAAGGCGACUCCCUGGCCAAAGACUGACGCUCAUGUGCGAAAGUGUGGGUAGCGAACAGGAUUAGAUACCCUGGUAGUCCACACCGUAAACGCUGUCUACUAGCUGUGUGUGCCUUUAAAGCGUGCGUAGCGAAGCUAACGCGCUAAGUAGACCGCCUGGGGAGUACGGCGCAAGGUUAAAACUCAAAUGAAUUGACGGGGCCCGCACAAGCGUGGAGCAUGUGGUUAAUUCGAUGCAACGCGAAGAACUUACCUACACUUGACAUGCAGAGAACUUCAGAGAUGAUGUGCUCCGGUACUCUGACACAGUGCUGCAUGCUGUCGUCAGCUCAGUCCUUGGAUGUAGUUAAGUCCGCAACGAGCCAACAUUCCUUAGUGCAGCAUAGUGACUUAGGAACUUGCGGUAACGAAUGUGACAGCUAGUC